GUAAUGACGCACGCAGUCACGUGACCUAACGCGGGAAGCAUCAAACCCGGUAGUGAGCUGCUUCCGGGAACUUGGGAAGAGCGAGAGGGACACGCUGAGGUUGCCGCGGGUAUGUGACUCGGUUUUGACGCUUUAUUUUAAUUAACUAAGCCUUCUAACUGAAUUGUAGUCAUGUCGAACUGUAGGACCCGACUACCGGAGCCGUGGGAGUGUUUGAGUGUGAUUUAUCUGCGGAAUGAACCAGGUUGGAUGGCGAGCUAGAGUCUGAAGCUUUAUGCCUGGAACCCAACCAACUGAACUGAAUCCACCCAACCGAGGCCCAGGCGGGUAGGAGGCUCCUUAGCAGCCGCCCUGUUUUUUCCUUUGUCUUUACCAAAACGCAACGUGUUCAUUUCGGUCCUCCUGAACUUUGACUUUUCCUCCAUCCCUUCACUAAAACCCCUGUGGACACUGCCACCACAACGUGGACUUUGCGGGGCCGUCUAAUGAACUCUGAACUCGUUGGUAGAAACAAGGACUGAAUCAAGUACUGACAUUGUAAAUUUUGAGCGUUUUGUGAAUUUGUUGAAUGUGUGAAUGGCCAUUUGAAUUUGUUUAUUUUUCCUAUUAUUCUUUAAUAUAAUUUGGUAACAAACUUAAAUCCUGUGUUCAGUUUUCAUUACUCUCCAUUCCUAGAGCUGAAUUUAGUUUCUCCUGAUCUAGCCCUGAUAUAUCAUUCACUGUUUACCUAGUACUUGUACAGUGCUUUACUAGAGUAACAUAUAGGCUAUAUUUGCAAAUGCUUUUCAUCCCAUAUUCAAUUGAAUGCACUACAAAGACAAGAUAUUUGAUGUUGAAACUCAUAUAAACUUUUUUUUUUUUUUUUUGCAAAUAAAAAUUAACUUAGAAUUUCAUGACUGCAACAUGUGCCAAAUUAGUUGGGAAAGGGCAUGUUCACCACUGUGUUACAUCAACUUUUCAUUUAACCACACUCAAUAAACGUUUGGGAACUGAGGAAACUAUUUGUUGAAGCUUUGAAAGUGGAAUUCUUUCCCAUUCUUGUUUUAUGUAGAGCUUCAGUCCUUCAAAAGUCCGGGGUCUCUGCUGUCGUAUUUUACGCUUCAUAAUGCGCCACACAUUUUCCAUGGGAGACAGGUCUGGACUGCAGGCGGGCCAGAAAAGUAACCGCACUCUUUUUUUUUUCUUUUUUUUCACGAAGCCACGCUGUUGUAACACGUGCUGAAUGUGGCUUAGCAUUGUCUUGCUGAAAUAAGCAGGGACCUCAAUGGAAAAAAAAUGGCGCUUGGAUUGCAGCAUAUGUUGUCCCAAAACCUGUAUGUACCUUUCAGCAUUAAUGGUGCCUUCACAGAUGUGUAAGUUACCCAUGCCUUGGGCACUAAUGCACCCCCAUACCAUCACACAUGCUGGCUUUUGAACUUUGCGUCAAUAACAGUCUGGAUGGUUCGCUUCCUCGUUGGGCUGGAUGACACAAUGUAGAAUAUUUCCAAAAACAAUUUGAAACGUGGACUCGUCAGACCACAGAACACUUUUCCACUUUGCAUCAGUCCAUCUUAGAUGAUCUCUGGCCCAGAGAAGCCGGCGGCGUUUCUGGAUGUUGUUGAUAAAUGGCUUUUGCUUUGCAUAGUAGAGCUUUAACUUGCACUUACAGAUGUAGCGACCAACUGUAUUUAGUGACAGUGGUUUGCUAAAGUGUUCCUGAGCCCAUGUGGUGAUAUCCUUUAGAGAUUGAUGUCUGUUUUUGAUACAGUGCUGUCUGAGGGAUCGAAGGUCACGGUCAUUGCUGGCCAUUGCUGCUUACGUGCAGUGAUUUCUCCAGAUUCUCUGAACCUUUUGAUGAUAUUAUGGAGCGUAGAUGUUGAAAUCCCUAAAUUUCUUGCAAUUGCACUUUGAGAAAGGUUGUUCUUAAACUGUUUGACUAUUUGCUCACGCAUUUGUGGACAAAGGUGUGUACCUCGCCCCAUCCUUUCUUGUGAAAGACUGAGCAUUUUUGGGAAGCUCUUUUUAUACCCAAUCAUGGCACCCACCUGUUCCCAAUUAGCCUGCACACCUGUGGGAUUUUCCAAAUAAGUGUUUGGUGAGCAUUCCUCAACUUUAUCAGUAUUUAUUACCACCUUUCCCAACUCCUUUGUCACGUGUUGCUGGCAUCAAAUUCUAAAGUUAAUUAUUAUUUGCAAAAAAAAAUCUUUAUAGAUAGAUAGAUAGUACUUUAUUGAUUCCUUCAGGAGAGUUCCGUCAGGAAAAUUAAAAUUCCAGCAGCAGUGUACAGAGUUGAGAUCAAUUUAAAAAAAAAAAAAUGUAAA
Molecule: long non-coding RNA, 2300 nt
Organism: Nerophis ophidion (straightnose pipefish)
Lineage: Eukaryota; Metazoa; Chordata; Actinopteri; Syngnathiformes; Syngnathidae
Exons: 2
Source: RefSeq, a predicted model, not a curated record